This 433-nucleotide ribosomal RNA is filed under the name uncultured bacterium. RNAcentral's name for it is "partial 16S ribosomal RNA". It matches the Rfam family "Bacterial small subunit ribosomal RNA", at positions 29 to 507 of the family's 1533-position model. The record is from RNAcentral.
AACGAACGCUGGCGGCAUGCCUAACACAUGCAAGUCGAACGAGACCUUCGGGUCUAGUGGCUCACGGGUGCGUAACGCGUGGGAACCUGCCCUUAGGUUCGGAAUAACUCCCCGAAAGGGGUGCUAAUACCGGGUAAUGUCUUCGGACCAAAGAUUUAUCGCCUUUGGAUGGGCCCGCGUUGGAUUAGCUAGUUGGUAGGGUAAAAGCCUACCAAGGCGACGAUCCAUAGCUGGUCUGAGAGGAUGAUCAGCCACACUGGGACGGAGACACGGCCCAGACUCCUACGGGAGGCAGCAGUGGGGAAUAUUGGACAAUGGGCGAAAGCCUGAUCCAGCAAUGCCGCGUGAGUGAUGAAGGCCUUAGGGUUGUAAAGCUCUUUUACACGGGAUGAUAAUGACAGUACCGGGAGAAUAAGCUCCGGCUAACUCCGUG